Molecule: ribosomal RNA, 253 nt
Filed under: uncultured bacterium
Lineage: Bacteria
Description: partial 16S ribosomal RNA
Rfam family: Bacterial small subunit ribosomal RNA
Source: RNAcentral
UACGUAGGUGGCAAGCGUUGUCCGGAUUUACUGGGCGUAAAGCGCGCGCAGGCGGUCGUUCAAGGCGCGUGUGAAAGCCCCCGGCUCAACUGGGGAGGGUCACGCGAUACUGAUCAACUUGAAGGCAGGAGAGGGUAGUGGAAUUCCCGGUGUAGUGGUGAAAUGCGUAGAUAUCGGGAGGAACACCAGUGGCGAAGGCGACUACCUGGCCUGUUCUUGACGCUGAGGCGCGAAAGCUGGGGGAGCAAACGGG